Molecule: ribosomal RNA, 253 nt
Filed under: uncultured bacterium
Lineage: Bacteria
Description: partial 16S ribosomal RNA
Rfam family: Bacterial small subunit ribosomal RNA
Source: RNAcentral
UACGAAGGGGGCUAGCGUUGCUCGGAAUCACUGGGCGUAAAGGGUGCGUAGGCGGGGCUUUAAGUCAGGGGUGAAAUCCUGGAGCUCAACUCCAGAACUGCCUUUGAUACUGAGGAUCUUGAGUUCGGGAGAGGUGAGUGGAACUGCGAGUGUAGAGGUGAAAUUCGUAGAUAUCCGGAGGAACACCAGUGGCGCAGGCGGCUCUCUGGCCCGAUACUGACGCUGAGGCACGAAAGCCAGGGGAGCAAACGGG